RNAcentral lists this transfer RNA (28 nucleotides) under Equus caballus (horse). RNAcentral's name for it is "partial tRNA-Lys". The record is from RNAcentral. Lineage: Eukaryota; Metazoa; Chordata; Mammalia; Perissodactyla; Equidae.
CACUAAGAAGCUAYUAUAGCAUUAACCU